CGUAACAAGGUCUCCGUAGGUGAACCUGCGGAGGGAUCAUUACACAACAAAAUAUGAAGGCCUGGCUUCGCGGCCGGCUGAAAUAUUUUUUCACCCAUGUCUUUUGCGCACUUGUUGUUUCCUGGGCGGGUUCGCCCGCCACCAGGACCAAACCAUAAACCUUUUUUUUAUGCAGUUGCAAUCAGCGUCAGUAAAAACAAUGUAAUUAUUACAACUUUCAACAACGGAUCUCUUGGUUCUGGCAUCGAUGAAGAACGCAGCGAAAUGCGAUACGUAGUGUGAAUUGCAGAAUUCAGUGAAUCAUCGAAUCUUUGAACGCACAUUGCGCCCUUUGGUAUUCCAAAGGGCAUGCCUGUUCGAGCGUCAUUUGUACCUUCAAGCUUUGCUUGGUGUUGGGCGUUUUUGUCUCUCUCUUUCUGGGGAGACUCGCCUUAAAACGAUUGGCAGCCGGCCUACUGGUUUCGGAGCGCAGCACAUAUUUUGCGCUUUGUAUCAGGAGAAAAGGACGGUAAUCCAUCAAGACUCUACAUUUUUAACUUUUGACCUCGGAUCAGGUAGGGAUACCCGCUGAA
This 572-nucleotide ribosomal RNA is filed under the name Bipolaris drechsleri. Its description in RNAcentral is "eukaryotic LSU rRNA". The stretch from base 213 to 366 matches the Rfam family "5.8S ribosomal RNA". Lineage: Eukaryota; Fungi; Ascomycota; Dothideomycetes; Pleosporales; Pleosporaceae. The record is from RNAcentral.